This 395-nucleotide transfer-messenger RNA is filed under the name Eubacteriales. RNAcentral describes it as "JAAYQM01 sp012519315 Standard tmRNA". It matches the Rfam family "transfer-messenger RNA". Rfam says of the family: Bacterial tmRNA, also known as 10Sa RNA or SsrA, is named for its dual tRNA and mRNA-like properties. The record is from RNAcentral. Lineage: Bacteria; Bacillati; Bacillota; Clostridia. RNAcentral also lists the same sequence under 1 other name.
GGGGGCGUAAGGGUUUCGACGGGGAUUUUGAGGUAUGAUAAGCGGGUAGAGGUGGGAUUACUCUUUAAACAAUCUCAUUUAAAUAUAAACGCUAACAAUAAAGUAGCUCUGGCUGCAUAAACAGCCCCGGCUUAUACAGCCGGAGUUGUUGCAGCUGAUGCGGCAUUUUGCCGCCCGUCCUUCCGGAGAGUACCACGGCUCCGGUUUUGGGCGUCACUGAGUGGUGCACGUGCACAGCCCGUUUGCUUUUGAAGCUGUCAUGAAGAAAAAAGCUACUCUGAUGUGCAGCAUGUCUGUUUGCGGCAUAUCGGGGGAAUGCAAAUAACAGACUGCACCCGGAGAAAGUCAUAUCAAGAGAUUUUCGGACAGGGGUUCAACUCCCCUCGCCUCCACCA